GGUGGCUCAGUGGUAGAGCGCUUGCCUAGCAUGCAUGAGGCCCUGGGUUCCAUUCCUCAGCACCA
Molecule: non-coding RNA, 65 nt
Organism: Dipodomys ordii (Ord's kangaroo rat)
Lineage: Eukaryota; Metazoa; Chordata; Mammalia; Rodentia; Heteromyidae
Source: Rfam